This 600-nucleotide ribosomal RNA is filed under the name uncultured Methanospirillum sp. RNAcentral's name for it is "bacterial SSU rRNA". It matches the Rfam family "Archaeal small subunit ribosomal RNA", at positions 249 to 853 of the family's 1478-position model. Lineage: Archaea; Methanobacteriati; Methanobacteriota; Methanomicrobia; Methanomicrobiales; Methanospirillaceae. The record is from RNAcentral.
CCAACAAGCCUGUCAUCGGUACGGGUUGUGGGAGCAAGAGCCCGGAGAUGGAUUCUGAGACACGAAUCCAGGCCCUACGGGGUGCAGCAGGCGCGAAAACUUUACCAUGCGGGCAACCGUGAUAAGGAAACCCCGAGUGCCAGCAGAGGUUGGCUGUCCGCCAGUGUACAUAACUGGUGAAGAAAGGGCCGGGCAAGACCGGUGCCAGCCGCCGCGGUAAUACCGGCGGCUCGAGUGGUGGCCGCUAUUACUGGGCUUAAAGGGUCCGUAGCUGGAUGUACAAGUCCCUUGAGAAAUCCGCGGGCUUAACCUGCGGGCGUUCAGGGGAAACUGUAUUUCUAGGGACCGGGAGAGGUGAGAGGUACUGCCGGGGUAGGAGUGAAAUCCUGUAAUCCCGGUGGGACCACCUAUGGCGAAGGCAUCUCACCAGAACGGGUCCGACAGUGAGGGACGAAAGCUGGGGGAGCAAACCGGAUUAGAUACCCGGGUAGUCCCAGCUGUAAACGAUGCGCGUUAGGUGUGUCAGUGACCACGUGUCACUGAGGUGCCGAAGGGAAACCGUGAAACGCGCCGCCUGGGGAGUACGGUCGCAAGGCUGAA